UAAUUUUAUAAAUUGCUUUUGUUUUGUUUUUUGCCCUAGGUGUCCCACCAUGAGGUGGCUGUGCAAAAGUUGUAGCUUUACCUCAAAUAAAAGGGUUGAUCUUUUCAAGCACUGCAGACUCAAACAUGGACACAGUGGCCAUACUCAAUCCAUACCAUGCCUAUAUACAAAUUGCCCUUGCUCAUUUAAGACCUUUAAUGCUCUCAAGAUCCAUCUUUCCCGUCAUCAUGUGGAAUCAGUUGCACCAAAGGUGGUCGUUUCAUUCAGUUGUCAGCGCUGCAGUUUAGCGUCCUUCUCUUCAGAGAAACAGUAUUUUGAACAUUUACACAGUCAUUUGAAGAGGUUUGAAGUUGUUCAAUGUGUAUUUAAAAAUUGUAGCUUCAGUACAAACAUUUAUUCAACCUUUUGUACUCAUAAGCACAGGAAACAUGGUCAGCACUCGCAUGAAGAUUUUAAGCCUGAGGUCUUGAAGACUCAUUCAGAUAGUCCUAUUGUCCAGCAUGAUCUAGUGAUUUCUUCUGAAGAGAAUACUGAGGUUUUUGUAGAGCCAUGUGAGGAUCUGUCUGAAAUUAUCAAGGAUAGACUUGGACUACUCUUUCUUAAGAUGGAGAGUUGUUACAAUGUGCCAAACAAGUGCAUUGAUGAAAUUGUCGAUGAGUUGCAGUUUAUUUCCUGCUCCUCAUCUGGACCAGUUUUGAGACAUGUUGUCGAGUCCACCUUCCAGAAACACAAAUGUGACUUGGAUUCAGUUCUGUUAAGCGAUUUGGUGAGCAACCUAUGUGAGUUACACCCUAUUAGCUCAGCUUUAGGGAAAGAUGGUCCAUUUACUACAUCAUAUAGGAGGAGGGAAUAUAUGAAGUCACACUUUUCAGUUGUGGAACCAAAAGAGUACAUUCUGAACAAGAAGGAAAAUAAGACGUUCCAGUAUGUUCCUAUACUGCAGUCCUUGACACAGGUACUUAAAAAUUGUCAAGAAAAGUGCCUAGUUGCUUCAAGGAACUCAGACUGUGCAGCAAAAUAUCAGUCCUUUCAAGAUGGGUCUCAUUUUCAGAAAAGUGAGUUUUUCUCUGCAGAUGAGGAUAGAUUAAGUCUUAUCCUGUAUAUUGAUGACUUUGAGAUCUGCAACCCCCUUGGGACAUCCCGCAAGAUACACAAAGUUACUGCUGUGUAUUGGGUGAUUGGGAACAUCCCAGUACAUGCAAGAUCGACAUUGACGAGUAUAUACUUAGCCAUUCUCUGUAAGGCCAGUGACGCCAAACAGUUUGGAUUCCAGACAGUGCUAGAGCCACUAUUGCGGGAUCUUCAGAGCUUGGAGAAAGAUGGUCUUUAUAUUCCGAGUUUUGGGAAAGUAAUCAAAGGCUCUGUGGUGAGCGUAGUGGCUGACAAUUUGGGUGCUCAUAUGGUGGCAGGAUUUGUUGAAAGUUUCACAGGACCACAUGUCUGUCGAUUCUGUCUGGGAGAGCGCUCUAUGUUUCAGACAACCGAGGUGAGGUCAGGAGUUUUUCAGCGAAGAAGGCAAGAGCAGCACACCAUGCAUGUUCAGACAGCUUUAUCAAGUCCUUCUCUCAAUCCAUGCUAUGGGGUGAAAAAUCAGUGUGCACUAUCAGAAAAACUGUGUUAUUUUGAUGUGACAUCUGGUUACCCUCCUGAUGUUUUACAUGACCUUCUUGAGGGUGUUGUUCCCCUAGAGCUGUCAUUGUCACUGAAUGUGUUCAUCAAGAAGAAGUAUUUCUCUUUGGUGGAACUCAAUAACUUGAUUGGUCAGUUCCCUUACAAGUGGACUGACCGAACAAAUCGCCCACAUUUGGUCCCGGCUAAUUUUGCUGCAAAAAGAUCAGUUGGAGGGAAUGCGCAUGAAAAUUGGUGCCUGCUGCGUCUUUUGCCUUUUGUGAUAGGGUUGAGAGUACCUGAGAGUGAUCCAGUAUGGCAAGUGCUAAUGGUUUUGAAGGACAUAGUGGAGUUAGUGAUGUCCCCAGUUCAUACAGAGGAAAGCAUCUGUUACUUGGACAGUAAGAUCUCCGAACACCGACAAAGAUUUCUUGAUGUAUUUCCCCAAGAGAAACUUCUUCCCAAGCACCACUUCAUUGAGCAUUAUCCUGAGCUCAUAAGGGAAUUUGGUCCAUUGUCUGCCCUGUGGACAAUGCGCUUCGAGGCGAAGCACAGCUUCUUCAAAAAAAUUGUCAGACAGACAGGCUGUUUCAGGAACAUACUGUUGUCCCUUGCCAAAAAACAUCAACUCAUGGUUGCACUGUGUCUCCAUGAGAACAGUGUACUCAAAAAAUCUGUGUCUGUUACCAGAACAUCACAAGUGUCAUUAGAUGUACUAAAUGAGGCCAUUAAAGAGUUGGUGCUGUGCAAGUAUCCAAACGUCACAAUGGUCCAUGUCUCAAACAAGGUGACCUUCUCAGGUACAAGCUAUGCACCAGGAAUGUUGCUGUGUCAUGGUUCAACUGCAGGUUUACCUGACUUUGCUGAAGUUUCUCAGAUCAUCCUGGUGUUGGAUAGCAUAGUCUUUGUUGUCAAGCUGCUAAAUGCAUGGUACAAUGAGCACCUCAGGAGCUAUGAGCUAGAUUACACGCGUAACUUUCGAGUAAUUGAGCCUAAAGAGCUACUUGAUUUCUAUCCCCUGGCUAUGUACACAAUCGCAGGACGACAAGUUGUUACUUUAAAACACCACAUCACCAUUCCCUUUUAGAUGCAAGGGAAGAUGAUCAAAAACGUACAUGUUUGUCAGAAUGAACUAAAAAAAAAAAAAUUUUUUUUUUUUUUUGCAGUGUUUUCCUGCCUGCUCAGAUGUCCACCCCUGCAAAGCUAAGGGUCAUCUUUGAUGAUCAUACAGUCCACAAAUUGGUUCUUCCAUCAGGUAUCCCCGGUACUCUACAGGAUCUCAAGCUAGUCAUCCAGAGCACAUUCUGCACACCAGAUGGCUUUACUCUAAUGUAUCAAGAUGAAGAAUUUGGGGGGCAGUUCUUCACAUUGACCUCUAUAGAAGAUGUUCAAGACAAGGGUACCCUGAAAGUUGUUCAAGUUGAACCAGUCAUUUUAGAUCUCAGUGCAGUGGAAGAAAAGGAUGAUAACGUAACAGAAUCAGACAGCAUGUCAUCCAUAUCUUUAGCAUCUCAGGAUACUGUUUUGUUUUCCUCAUCUGAUGAAAGUCCAUCACACCGUUCCCAACCAUGGCCAAGAAAGUUUGAAAUUCCACUAUUCUCCUUUGGGAUUCGGCUCCUCCUGGAGGCAGGAAACCAAGCUUACCAUUCUGAAGGCACCCUGCUAAACAACCCAAAAGUGACAAGCGGUGUCCUGGAAGAAUUGGCUGAAAAAAUAUUUGAGUACACAGCAUACCCUACGGGAAUUCAAGUUCUGAAUGUAGUCGAGGCCUUAAUUGAGAAGUACCCAUGCCUCAAAGAGCCAGGCUCGUUCAAUGGAAUGUACGGAUGGCAACAAAGGAUAAAGUACAAGAUGGGAAAUUACAGGGCAAAAGUAAGAGGGCUCAAAAUAGCCUGUCCAGAGUUAGAAGUGAACAAAAAGACGACUUCUAGUCCCAAAGGAAUCAGAAGACCCAAAAAGGCGGAAGUAAAUUAUUUGCCACCAUUGCCACUAGGACAGACAAAAGAAACCAUGGAUGAAGAGAGAGUAGAUCUACUUACAGAAGUAAAAAAGACCAACAACGACAAGAUUAUCAGUGAAAAAAUGGAGAAGACCUUUCCAUAUCGACGACUGGAAGUUGUCAGUCAGAUGCCUGCUGUCCCAGAUGUCAUGGAGAGAUGGCCUGCCCUUUUCUCUCAAUCUCAGGUGAAAGAGGAGUUCAAGAGGAUCACAACCAUUCAACUGGACCGAACCUUUUUGUCGAAGAUGGAUUUAUACACUCCAAAACUCCUGACCGUUUUCAAGACAAAGGGUGGGACUGCAGGCACAAAAAUAAAAAGCGUGUUGGAGUCUCUCAGUCAGAAGCAGAUUGAUAGCCAUGAUGCGGUCAUCCGUUGUCUGAUCCCUUUCCUGGGAGAAUCGACAGAGGAACUCAUUAAAGACUACCAGCAGGAUGUGUCCAAGGACGUCAUCGAACAAGACCUCAAAGACAAUGUGAUCAAGAUCCUUGUGCUGGGCAGUGCUGCAGAGGGUGCCCCCCCAACUGAUGUCAUCAUUGUGAUUGAUGGUACAGAGGUAUUAGGUGGUUGUAAAACACUUGCCAACGCUUGCAUGCUGCUCAUGGGCUUUGUGUACUCACUGAAUCUCAGUUAUCCUCCAAAAUUGAAAUACACAUUUGAAGUGUUUCAAAAGUUGCUUUUGGAGUUAGAUGAUUUGAAGGUCUCCCCUAAAGUGGAUUCUCUGAGGAGGAAACUGCUACAUUAAAAGGGAAAUGUGACUAGAGCUCAAGCAGAAGGUGCAAUUGACUUUACUGUGAAGUUUUUCAUAACUGUUCAUAAAAGGCUUUGAGUGAUGCUUCUUGUUCGCUUGAGUGUUUUUGUAAUGACGUCAAUAAUGUACAAAUGGGCCUGUACAGAUUUUUUUUUUUUUAAGAAUUUGCAAUCUUUCUUGAUUUUUGAAUUUUAUUGCAGUGUACUAUUGGUCCACUUGGUAAGUUCCCUCUCAGCCUUCACAUCAUUUAUAGGACCCAGAACACUCACCAAAGCUUGCAUUCUUCUCAUGGGCUUUGUCUACUGACUAAAUCUCAAUCGGGAGCAUAACAGAUUUAACGUGUUUUCAAAAGUUCCUUUUGACAUUUAGGUGACUUAUUUGAAAAUUAUCCCCAAAAGUGGGUUUCUUUGUGGGAAAACAAACUGUUAAUGUUAAAGGGGAAUAUGCCAUUGUAUGUUGCAGAUGCGAAUGACUUCGCUUUGGUGUCUGUUCAUCUUUGAGUUGUCAACUGAAGUCUUUGAGAGUUAUACGUCUUGCUAGAUUUGUUCAGACUUGAAUAAUGUAUAGAUGGGCACGUACAGCUUUUUGCCUUUUUCUUUUUGAAGAUCGCUGUUCUUUCUUGGAAGAUUUAGAAUAUUUUACUAUAGUAUAGGGCAAUUAAGUGGGUCAUGUGUGGAGUACCCAAGGCUAACUCGUCUCUCUCUGCUUAACACACACACAGUUUGUUUUGCAUAUGUUGGCCCAAGAAUAUUUAUGUAUAUUCUUGAUUUUUAUAUAUAUUUUUUUUAUAUUGUAAUGUACAAAAUGCCCUUUGUUUUAUGUUGUGGAAAAAUAAAAAACAUAUCUUGA
RNA transcript from Neoarius graeffei (lesser salmon catfish), 5205 nucleotides. RefSeq lists it as uncharacterized. The transcript has 4 exons. NCBI's taxonomy places the organism in Eukaryota, Metazoa, Chordata, Actinopteri, Siluriformes, Ariidae. The record is from RefSeq and is a predicted model, not a curated record.